UAGUAUGGAUUAGAGGUCUUUCUGAUUUCAAAUAUAUUGUCUUUCACCAUAUUGCAAAGAAGCUCAGGGAAGAUGUCUUCUAAGGUUUCUCUUUUCCUUCAUCCACUCCAAUGGAGAAUUGCAAUGUCCGUGUGACUUGGAUAGGGGUCCAGACUGUGUAAUUCCUAAUGAAUCAUCAUUCUAUCCCUGUUUGGAAACUUGGACCACUGAGAGAGUCAGAGUGAAGCCUGAGAGAUGGAAUGACAAAUGUCACAGGUAACAAUCCUAGCCCUGCCCUAACCAAAUUCCAACCUUUUUAGAUAGUAUAGCACUAUUUGUGUAGUUCUAAGAAAGCUGAAAAUGUUCCUUCUCUAACAGUACCAGGUGAAAGAUUUCAUGCUUUAUUAAACACAUUUAUAAAGCAUUUUGAGAUGAUAGAAAUCUUAAAUCAGCACUUAUUCAGCUUUUAACUUCCAGUAGUAUAGCUCCAAAAUUUCUUAAAAAUGACCUUGAUUUUUUCUUUUCUCUUUUUGGUGCUAAAAUCACUGAAGAUAACCACCCUUAAGGAAAAGUUAAAUGAUCGCUUUCCCUGUUAAAUUGGGACAGAAUUAAUUUCCUGCCUGUAGCCUUGAGCAAAAGGGCAAGUCAAGUGUCAGCCUGACCGUGUUUCUCUUGCUAUUUUCAGCACAAUUGGCAAGAGGGGUAAACAAAAACCUAGCAGCUACAAAAAGCUUCUCAAGGAGAAUCUUCUACACUCAGAACUCUGUUGGUAUUUAUUCUCUGCUCUCAUCAGUCAACUA
RNAcentral lists this long non-coding RNA (779 nucleotides) under Monodelphis domestica (gray short-tailed opossum). Its description in RNAcentral is "lncRNA (ENSMODG00000049169.1)". Lineage: Eukaryota; Metazoa; Chordata; Mammalia; Didelphimorphia; Didelphidae. The record is from RNAcentral.